Molecule: unclassified non-coding RNA, 2294 nt
Filed under: Penaeus chinensis
Lineage: Eukaryota; Metazoa; Arthropoda; Malacostraca; Decapoda; Penaeidae
Description: uncharacterized LOC125025063, transcript variant X3
Source: RNAcentral
CGGAACGACGGCCCUGAGUGGGAUCGACGUGAUGAAGGAUGUCGCCGCGAAGAGCAAAGUCACUGCAGGGCCCAACGCCACGGACGUCUUCUAUUUCCUGGAAUCUUGAGUUGGAAUUCACGGAGCGCAGGACAUAAGUGGAAAAACCUCAUUCACAAUGGACAUGUGGAUGUCCAACUUCAGCGGCACUAUUUUGAAUGGAAUCGACAUAAACCAACUCUACACCACAACUGUUUUAAGCAAUGGGACUGAGAUAAUUAACUGUGACAUCAAGUUCAGCAGGAAUUUAAAGGUGAACAAAACCGUCGUGAAAUCUGAUCUAUCUGGUUUAGAUGAAGAUGGUAUUCUGAUCGAUAAUUUGAACGUGACGGAGGUGAGCGAAAAGGCUGUGUUGACGAGUGGAGGUCCUUAUCAUAUUUUCGGCAGAAAGACGUUUUCCAACUUAACUGCCUCGGCAUUGAGUGUAGAAGAUUCAAUAGGGAAUGUGCCAGUCGAAAAUUUUGUGGUUGUCUCCCGGCAUGACAGACCAAUAAGGAACCUUGUAUCUAAUGCAUCCAUCACCGUCACAGAUCUUCAGGUAAAUGGGCUUAUAGAUGGAGUGAAUUUGGAAAACUUGCUUGCAAGCCGGAUCACCAUCAGUGAAAAUGAAACCAUCUCAAGAUCACUGGCAUUUGAAACUGUGAAAGUAGAAGGUGACUUAACGGUGAACAAAAUCAACGAUAUUUAUCUUUCAAAUAUUGUGCUAAAAUCCGGAAGAGAACAGCAAGACAUCCUUGAUCGGAAAACUUUGAAUGGGGGUCUGGUUGUCAAUGGACGUAUUGGAGGCAGAGAGCUCAAUGGAAUCGACUUACCCGAACUAAAUCGACUGGUUGUCCGAAAGGAUCGGAACGCAACACUGGGAAAUGCCAUGACAUUCAAGAAACCCAUAGAAUCCAAAGUACCAAUCGCGGUACUAGGAACGGUCAAUGCCUUCAAACUCUCUAGCCUGGUAUACAAUAUGACUGCUCUCGGGCAGCAUGUUGGGAACCAGAGUGCCAGACUUCAGGAUUUGUACAUGCAACUUGCAAACACUCACAGUGAUAACUUACAACUCGCUUGCGGCUUUUAUCAACCGAUGGCAUUUGGAGAAGAACUCAUUAACAUGGAAGUAAAAUUUGCUGGAAAAAUGACAUUCGGACUCGUGGGAGAAAACCUUCCCACCUUGGCUUUGGGAAAUUGUCAUCUUCAGUGCAGCUGCAACAUGGAAACUGCAAUUUACAAAUUAGGUGAAGAUGGAAGCUUGCAGCUUGACAUUGUAGUCAGAGACAGAGCAGUGUUUUUCUUCCAAACUGAUGGUUAUAGUGGAACACAGCUUGGUUACCAAUGCACAAAUCAAGGUGGAACAAGCAUCUUUAGCUUUGUGGGUAAAAACACAACAAUUCUUUUAUCUCCCUCUCUUGGUUUUCCAUCUGAAGUCAAAUCGUUUACUGUGGAACAAGAUGGAAUCAACAAGACCUAUUUUGUAACCAUAGGAACAGAUCUAACUUAUAUGAGUUACGGCAUUGAAAGUUCCGUAAUUAAUGUUUUGAGAAUAGACGAGAAUCAACUCACUAGGGUAUGGUCAAAGCAUACUAGGGCCAAGAUCUCUUCACUGGAUAUCGCAAAAAUUUUUGGAGUGUGGUGCAUGUUGGUAGCCAAUAUUGCGCUGGCUGAUGAUAAAACCGACCCAUACACAGCACCUACGCGUUUGUACAAAUGGAACAAAGACGAGUUUGUACUUGUGAAAGAAUACUAUGGUGAAUAUGUGACUUCUGCCAUGUUCCUCCGGCCUCGAGCUCCCAGAAACGUGAACUUUUUCUCGAUGGCCCAACUGAAGGCUGCCAAUACCCCUCUUGGUGCUUUCAAUCUGAGAUACACAACCGAAGUAUUGGUGUACAAACUGCAAGACCUUGAGACUGGCCAUGGCUUUACACCUUACGCGAGGCUGAAGUCGUACGGUGUGGUCGCCCAACAGCAUAUGUUCGCGGGAGACGAUCUCUACCUAAUGGCACUGUCUGAGUACUCGAAGACCCUCGAUGUUUAUGAAUACGUACCUUCAGAGGCAAGCGAGUUUUGACAUUUUACCCGCCGUGAUAUUUAUGAUCUAGUACUAUGAGAGAAAUCCUCCAUAUAGAAGGGUUUCCGACUGUUCCAGCAACUCCGUGUCUGCGAGAAACCCCUUGAUCUGAAGAGCAUCAAAGCCGGUGACGAAGAGAUGAUGCUGGUAUCGUGUAGAGAGCCGUACAAGUUGAUUAGUUUUCGGUUCAAUGUCAAGG